Leopardus geoffroyi (Geoffroy's cat) is the source of this 3301-nucleotide long non-coding RNA. RefSeq lists it as uncharacterized. Lineage: Eukaryota; Metazoa; Chordata; Mammalia; Carnivora; Felidae. The transcript is spliced from 2 exons. The record is from RefSeq and is a predicted model, not a curated record.
GGUGGGUGCGGGAGAGCCAUAGGAGACCUCUUUCCUCCAAAAACUAAUAGUAAUGGCUAGGUUUAAGUGUGUGUGUGUGUGUGUGUGUGUGUGUGUGUUUAAUCAUCUAUUAAGGAAUAGCAUCACUCUGAAUUUGGAAAGGACCGAUCUGCUAUCCUAGGGAUGAAGGUUCACUGGACAUUGAAUGUCAGUUUUCUACGACUUCUCAGACUUGCACAGUGACCAUGCACUUAUGCUUUUACCAACUUCAGAAAAUGAGGAUGAGAAAAUAAGAUUUAUCAUUCACUGUUGCUAAGGGUCAUAUGGAGGUAGUUAUGGAAGUAAUAUGGUCAUAUGGAAGUGAUGUUAAAAAAAUUGUGAGAUCCGAGGAAAUUAUAGAAUUGUCAUAAAAGGGUGAUGCAAUACAAAAUAAAGUAUUACCACUUUUAUUAUUGUGAUUUUUAAAGUCCUAAAUAUAUUAGACUUAUGUUUUGGCUAAAUAUGCUUCUGUUAGAUACAAUUAUAAAAAUUUUAGAGCUAGUAAACACCAGGUGAAAUAAUCCCCUUCUUUUGUGGGAAAGGGAAGCCCAAAAAGAGUAGAUAACUUGCCUAGGGUCAUACAGAAAAUCAGAACUAGAACUAGGUUGUAGCUCCUGGACUGUCUCUAAGGUUCUGAACUUUACCUGGAAAUAAUAAUCAUAAUGUCAUGUAAAACAUAUUUAAUUUAUCAUUCAAAGAAUCAAAGGCACCAGAAGUAAAAAUAAUUAAUUGCUUUAUCAUAAUUAACCAAUACACAGCAUCUUUUAUGUGCAAAACACUUGGGUGUUAUGCCUUCAGGGAGUGCAAAGAAGAAAACCAUGAUGGUAUUUGCCUUUAAGAGACUUGAAAAGUUACAUGAGGCAUCUAGAUUUAAACAUGUGAAAAAUUGCUAACAAGAGUUAAAUAACAUUUUAGGAAGACUCCAUCUCUUUGGAACACUGGAAGCAAUGACGUUCUGGGUAAUAGUCCAUUUUAUUUUACUAAAAAAUUUUCCCCUGUCUUUUGCUUCUUGGUAUCUAUUUCCUCCUGUUUCCUUUUAGAAAAAAUAGUUGAGGGUCCCUCUGUAUUCUUCAAGUGAAUAUGCUGAGUAGAGCAUUGACGAAUUUUGAAGAUUGAUGAAUUUCAGUUAUGAAUAUCAGUUAAAGUGGUUUGAGAGAGCUGUAGAUACGUAUGAUAUGAUAGUGUUGAAUGAAAAUUGCCCCUGAAUUGGCCUUGGAAUUUGCUUUCUUGCAGAAGUUGUGGAUAUCUAAUUUUUCUUUGGUUAUUUACCCUGUCCAAAUAACGUUAAAAUGAGAUGUGCAAUGAUUUAACAAGAGUUUAUUGAACGUUGUCCUAGGACCUUUAACACGUCUGAAUAAUAAUCCUCUGGGCAGUAUAAGACUUUUCCUAUACAUUCGCUGGAGAACAUUCUUUUUCUUUCUAGACAUAAUCUUAUCUACUGAUAUUAGAGUCAUAAUUAUUAAAUAUCUGAUUUCUGAGUUACUAGUGAACUGCAGUCACCUGUCAGCUGGUAACGAUUCUGUCUCAAGUAUACUCCAUCCGGAUACACUGAAAGAGGUGUGCCCCUCACCCUUACAAGAGUUUGAUGUUAAGGUAUUUAGAAAUACUUCGUAUCUGGAAAUAAAAUUUUUCAUUAUUAGAGAAUAAGGUUAUGUUUACUUAGAUAUGACAUUGGGACACAAUUUUUAUCAAUCUCUUAUAAAUAUUUUACUUUUAACAGAAUCCUGAGAUAGUGUUAAAAAUAGCAUCUUUGAUAGAGUAAUGAAGUUGAAAUUCCAAUAUAAUUUUUGCAUCAUGAAUCAGAAUUUCUCAUGAAACAAUUAUGUUUUGUUUUGGAAUAGCACUGUAUUUUGUAGGCUGAAUGAGGUAAAGUUGUCCCCAGGAAGAUGAUAAAAAUAAGCUGAGCUGUGAAUCUUCUUUUCUUGGGCAGAGCCCUAAACUUACCUAACAUAGUAGCUCUUCUAGUUUCAGAGAAGCCUGUAGCUCGAAAAUCAUCUUUUAGUGAAGUUUCAAAAAGAUCACACAAAUUAACAGUUUUUUGAUUCUCUGCAUUAGCAGCAAAAGAUAACUAAUUGACACUUGUGAAAACUCUAGGACAAUGAAAAUUUCAGACUCCUUUUGGCUUUAUUUUAUAGGAGCCUUCAGCAUGAGCACAGUGAAGAUACUCAGCAUGUUCUUUUACUUUAACCUGGUCACAUGAUUCACUGGCAUUUGCUGAUAGCACCCUUUGUUAAAAUAUUCUCUUUCAAGGCACUGGAUGUAUUAUAUAUAUCAGAGAGAACAGAGUUUAGAUGUUCUUUUAAAAUGGUACCUUUUAUAACUCUGCUUUAUAGCUCAUGAUUCAUUAUUUAAUCAUUUGGAAACUGUUGCUCAUCAAGUCCUAAAAUCCUGUAGUUUUAUUUUUCCAGUCUUUUCUGAUCCAGAACUGUUCUUUGAAUUUGGGAAUACAAAAGCUUCUGUGUCAGAAUACAGGGUCAGCUGCUGAACUUUUAUUUUCAUUGCACAUAAUGGUGUGGAGGUAGGUGAUCUAGAGCUGGUAGGGUGGCUCUGCUUCAUGAGAUCAUCCAGGGGCUUGGUCUUUUUCUGUCCUGUAGUUCUGUCAUCCCUCAAGGCAGCAGUUCUCAAAUUAUGGUCUAGAGAUCCCUGAGAAUCCCUGAGACUUUCUCAGGAGAUCUGUAAGGUCAAAAGUAUUUUUGUAAUAAUACUAAUACACUGUUUGCUUUUUUUCUAUGUGAUGAAACUGGUGAUGCAUCAGUACGAAUCAAGGCAGUGGCAGCAAACUAUACUAGUAGUCUGGUAUUUUUACCACUAAGUACUCAGAGUGAAAAAAAAAAUCCAAUUUCACUUAAAAAUGUCUUUGAUGAAGCAGUAAACAUCAUUGAUUUUUAUUAAUAUUAAUUCUUGAGUAGGAGUAUUUAGUAUUGUGUGUGAUGAAAUGCAGGGUACACCCAAGGCACUUCUGCACACUAAAUUAUAUUGGCUAUUUUUGAGGAAAAACACUUGUGUAAUUUUUGAGUUGCAAGCUGAGCUAUCCAGUUUUUUCAUGAAAUAUCAUUUUUCCUUAAUAGAACAAGUCACAGAUAAACUAUGCUUGUUCAAAUUUGAGUAUUUGGGAGAUAGUUUCUUCAAAGUGAAUAAAGUGAGCCAGUCACUUUAAGGAAAAAAGCUGAUAGUAUUUGUUGCCAAUGGUAACAUUUGAACCUUCAAGUGAAAAUUAGUAUAGUUUGGAAAAUCUGUAUCUGCCAUAUAAACCAAACAGCUUCCUAAUACUUAAAAACUUUUU